UCUAGUCAAGUUAUUUUAACCAUCAGUCAUCCUAGAAUGCGUUGAGUUUGUGUAUAGUUUAUGAUCCUAUACAUUGGCUUAACACUAUAAAUACUCCCCUGCGCCCUUAUGAGCUGAGACCAUCGACCAGGUACAGUGUGCCAUAUUCCAGCAGUUCAAGCAAAUGGCUUCUACAAGGAUACUUGCUCAGCAACUCCACCAGUCUCUUGGAGGUGGAGGGGGCGGUGGAGGUGGUGGUGGCGGCGGCGGCGGCGGUGGCGGAGGAGGUGGUGGCGGUGGGGGUGGGGGUGGCGGUGGCGGUAAUGGAGGAGGUGGUGGAGGUGGAGGAAACUAGAUUGCCUUGCUGCUACCCUCAUCAUAGCCCAGGAGGUUGGCUCUGUUCCAAUCAUUCUGGGAUGAUGGCGAGGUAGUAGCCGUAUCUAUGUUCAGGUUUAUGACCAAGCCAUGAUUGUGUGUGUAGUGCAAAGGUAAAUAAGGACGUCGAGAUAAAUCUCUAAACUCUAUGCAACCAUCGACGUGGUGACUGUAUUUGAAUGAUGUGAAGCAUCUAGCUAUAUAUGUGUCAUGUACUAAGUUAUAUAUGUGCUCUCUCAUUAUAUAUGAUAUAUCCCCUACUUGAAUAACACAGAUAUUCAUCAUCCAAUUUUAUAUGUGCUAAGUUAUAUAUGUCCCCUGCUUGAAUAACACAGAUACUCAAGCCUCUAUAUAUGUGUCAUGUACUAAGUUAUAUAUGUGCUCUCUCAUUAUAUCUAAACUC
This 757-nucleotide long non-coding RNA is filed under the name Zea mays. RNAcentral describes it as "long non-coding RNA (ZMAY_LNC002128)". The record is from RNAcentral. Lineage: Eukaryota; Viridiplantae; Streptophyta; Magnoliopsida; Poales; Poaceae.